CCUCUAAUGGUGUAAUUGGAAGCAUACUCGACUCGGAUUCGAGAGGUCCAGGGUUCAAGCCCCGGCGAGGGCA
RNAcentral lists this transfer RNA (73 nucleotides) under Stegodyphus mimosarum. It matches the Rfam family "tRNA". From Rfam's summary of the family: Transfer RNA (tRNA) molecules are approximately 80 nucleotides in length. Their secondary structure includes four short double-helical elements and three loops (D, anti-codon, and T loops). Lineage: Eukaryota; Metazoa; Arthropoda; Arachnida; Araneae; Eresidae. The record is from Rfam by way of RNAcentral.